Molecule: ribosomal RNA, 292 nt
Filed under: uncultured bacterium
Lineage: Bacteria
Description: partial 16S ribosomal RNA
Rfam family: Bacterial small subunit ribosomal RNA
Source: RNAcentral
GUGUCAGCAGCCGCGGUAAGACGAACCGUCCGAACGUUAUUCGGAAUCACUGGGCUUAAAGAGUGCGUAGGCGGCUUAUCAGGCGGGAUGUGAAAUCCCUCGGCCCAACCGAGGAACUGCGUUCCGAACCGAUAGGCUUGAGGAGGAUAGAGGCGAGCGGAACUGAUGGUGGAGCGGUGAAAUGCGUUGAUAUCAUCAGGAACACCUGUGGCGAAAGCGGCUCGCUGGGUCCUUACUGACGCUGAGGCACGAAAGCCAGGGGAGCGAACGGGAUUAGAUACCCCCGUAGUCC